Molecule: ribosomal RNA, 342 nt
Filed under: uncultured prokaryote
Description: bacterial SSU rRNA
Rfam family: Bacterial small subunit ribosomal RNA
Source: RNAcentral
AGAGUUUGAUCCUGGCUCAGAUUGAACGCUGGCGGCAUGCUUUACACAUGCAAGUCGAACGGCAGCACGGGGGCAACCCUGGUGGCGAGUGGCGAACGGGUGAGUAAUGCAUCGGAACGUAUCCUUGAGUGGGGGAUAACGCAGCGAAAGUUGUGCUAAUACCGCAUAAGCUCUGAGGAGGAAAGCGGGGGACCGAAAGGCCUCGCGCUGAAGGAGCGGCCGAUGGUCGAUUAACUAGUUGGCGGGGUAAAAGCCCAUCAAGGCGAUGAUCGAUAGCGGGUCUGAGAGGAUGAUCAGCCACACUGGGACUGAGACACGGCCCAGACUCCUACGGGAGGCGAC